GACGAAUGUGUCUCCCCAUCCCCGUUGGUCCGUCAAUCAGCCGCCCACGCAAUGGUCACAUUCAUCGAAGAACAUCCCAACGAAAUGCCUGCAAUUCUCACGAAAUUCGAUGAAACCUACAAGGAUUUGGUGCUCAUUCGUGAGCCAAUCUAUGAUGAUGUCGGACGUCUUCAACGUGAAGCAAUCGAUGAAAGUGAUCGAAGAUCAGGAAUCGGACAAACUUUGGUGCUCCUCGCAGGGCUCUGCCGACAGGAAGAAGCCGAGCAGUUGAUUCGUAUUGUUGCUCCAGAUGGGCUCUCGGAUCGGGCUCAAGAAUGCCGGAAUGAGCUCAGAAAUGCGGCUGUUGAAACGAUUCGGAGGCAUGGAGCAGCUUGUAUGCUCAGGCUUUUGCCACUUUUGGAGAAGCUUUCUGAUGAGACACCGGCUCAAGAUGAUAAUAGGCGGCAGGGGCUUGUGGUUCUGCUGGGAACACUUGCACAAUAUAUUGAUAGUACUGAGAAGGUUAAGGGAAUUGUUGCACGGCUUGUUGAAGCACUUGGAACGCCUAGUCAAACUGUGCAG
RNAcentral lists this small RNA (561 nucleotides) under Caenorhabditis elegans. RNAcentral's name for it is "Unclassified non-coding RNA Y48G9A.19". The record is from RNAcentral. Lineage: Eukaryota; Metazoa; Nematoda; Chromadorea; Rhabditida; Rhabditidae.